Molecule: ribosomal RNA, 360 nt
Filed under: uncultured bacterium
Lineage: Bacteria
Description: bacterial SSU rRNA
Rfam family: Bacterial small subunit ribosomal RNA
Source: RNAcentral
GGUAGUGUAGUUAACACCUGCAUUAUUUGACGUUACCUACAGAAGAAGCACCGGCUAACUCCGUGCCAGCAGCCGCGGUAAUACGGAGGGUGCGAGCGUUAAUCGGAAUUACUGGGCGUAAAGACGCAUGCAGGCGGCCUGUUAAGUCAGAUGUGAAAGCCCGGGGCGUUAACCUCGGAAUUGCAUUUGAAACUAGGCAGGCUAGAGUCUUGUAGAGGGGGGUAGGAAGUUUACUAGGUGUAGCGGUGAAAUAGCGUAGAGAUCUGAAGGAAUACCAGUGGCGAAGGCGGCCCCCUCGGACAAAGACUGACGCUCAGAUGCGAAAGCGUGGGGAGCAAACAGGAUUAGAUACCCUGGUAG